Long non-coding RNA from Alligator mississippiensis (American alligator), 1948 nucleotides. RefSeq lists it as uncharacterized. The transcript has 3 exons. NCBI's taxonomy places the organism in Eukaryota, Metazoa, Chordata, Crocodylia, Alligatoridae. The record is from RefSeq and is a predicted model, not a curated record.
UUUGAAUGAAAUGUUUAAUUGGAACUGAAAUUAAGCAUUUCAUUUUAGGCAUUUAUAAGGCAAGCAAAGGAAAUGCAGGAUUGCUCGAUUUUCACAUCCCUGCCACCCUUUUAUGUAAUCGAUCAGCGUUUUGAGCACUGAUGUGGGUGACCUCCCAGAUUUGGGUGACUUGGGUUUAAUUCCCUAUACUGCCUAAAUGAGAUUGGAAUAUACAUCUCUCACAAGAGGACCUUACCUAUAGAUCCAGGCCCUACCAGGCUGGAUCUGGAUCACAUGGCAUCUCACAGGCUGGAUCUGGACCUACCUUCAGCGAUGGGGAUGACUUCAUGAACGUAUCCAAAGUCAAAAUGGCCAAGACAAUAUUAAUUGCAGCGUCAGUCAUAAUCAUGUGUGGGCACAUGAUAAUCACAUGAACAAGAAUGCAGAAGAUUGAUGUAAGCCGUAAAUAUUAAGGGCCAGAUCUUCAUCUGGACUUUACAGACUUCAGCGGAGCUAUAAAAUUCACAUCAGCUGAGCAGCUGCUCCUUAAUGUUGUAUAGGUUUUGCUCAACUACUGUAACUUCUACCUCUAAUAGUCAUCAGCAACAUUAAUGAAUUAAUGGGAUAUUUGCUGAAGCUGGUUCCUCUUUUCUUUUCUUUUCCUGAAAAAAGACACGGGGGACAGGCUAAGAAGAGCUGAAGACAUGCGUAUUCCAUUUGAAAUCCAUGAUUAAAAAGCUUAAAAAUUCAAAUCAACGUAAAAAACUGUUUUAUUUUAAUCCUCUGGAAGGUUUCAGUGAACUCCAUUAUUUUCACUCACUAUUUGCUUGAAUAAUUUAGGCAAGAAAGCUAAAUUAUACAUAAAGUGUACAGUUAGAAGAAAAAGUUCAUGCACAGCCUCAGGCUAUAGCCAUCCCCUAAUGAUGUCUGUAGUCAGUGGAAAAGAACUCGUUAGACUGAGAGUAAUUUCUCAGGGUUUAAAUUUUUUUCUUAAAGCAAUAAUGUUCUUAUAAAAAUCUGACAAAUAAUAUACUAACCCAAAAGCCACAAAAGAAAGACUAUUCUGAAGACUACAGCCCUAUAAAUUUUCAUUUAAUUUUGCGUAAAGGCUGGCUCCCCAUAUACAAUAUAUUGUUGUUGGCAGUCUUCAGUGAUCUGAUUAAAAAGGGGAAAUGCAUGUCUUGAUAUAACUUAGUUCCUAUUUUGCCUAAUCAGGAUCCUGAAUUUUGCAGAGUUAAAAUAAAUGCACUGUGGCUUUCUGAGUCAAACUGGUACCUAUUGUGAAAGGGUUACUUUUCUACACUGUACCUGGCCAUUUUUUGCUAGUAGUUGCAACUUGCUACCUUGUUGUGUUUAAGGAGCAAUUCACAUCAUUAAAGAUGUAUGGCCUGGUUCACUAAAGUUUUACAUGCAUGCCCUUUAAACUUGACAACAGAGAACAGGCAUGUGAAAAAGGACCUGUUUACCAAAAUUCUGCAAUUCACUUCAUAUUUGGUUGCACAUCCCUUCCCGUACUUCAACUUCUUUCCCCAAAACUGGACAUUGUACGAAGUACUAUCCCUGGCACCAGUGAAUUCAGCUGAAGCCAUUUCAUGAGCUAACAAGAGGCUAUGGAAUGGAAAUUAACCAAUCUAAAUUUGUUCAUCAGAUUCAACCUAUGAUCAAAGUAUCUUAGCUAGAGCAGAGAAAGGAACAAGUAAGUUUAAUCAAAUUGUUCUUUAGAGUCCUCUGCAUGGCAUGAAUAACUUUCUAUAAUAUUAAUAAUUUUAUAUCAUCUUACCCUUGUAUUACUCUGUCACAUUAGUUUAAUAUUACUACCAUGUACAGUAGUUUAGUAUUAAUGUGAUACAGAAGUGGAAUUACAUGUGCACUUUCAUAUUGUUAUAUUGAAAUCAAGUUCUCAUAUGACACUAAUACGAUGCAAACCCAAUAAAAUAUACACUUUCUAAUAUAAAGAUAUUUUAUACCA